RNAcentral lists this ribosomal RNA (465 nucleotides) under uncultured Klebsiella sp. RNAcentral describes it as "bacterial SSU rRNA". It matches the Rfam family "Bacterial small subunit ribosomal RNA", at positions 338 to 795 of the family's 1533-position model. Lineage: Bacteria; Pseudomonadati; Pseudomonadota; Gammaproteobacteria; Enterobacterales; Enterobacteriaceae. The record is from RNAcentral.
CCUACGGGAGGCUGCAGUGGGGAAUAUUGCACAAUGGGCGCAAGCCUGAUGCAGCCAUGCCGCGUGUGUGAAGAAGGCCUUCGGGUUGUAAAGCACUUUCAGCGGGGAGGAAGGCGGUGAGGGUAAUAACCUCAUCGAUUGACGUUACCCGCAGAAGAAGCACCGGCUAACUCCGUGCCAGCAGCCGCGGUAAUACGGAGGGUGCAAGCGUUAAUCGGAAUUACUGGGCGUAAAGCGCACGCAGGCGGUCUGUCAAGUCGGAUGUGAAAUCCCCGGGCUCAACCUGGGAACUGCAUUCGAAACUGGCAGGCUAGAGUCGUGUGGAGGGGGGUAGAAUUCCAGGUGUAGCGGUGAAAUGCGUAGAGAUCUGGAGGAAUACCGGUGGCGAAGGCGGCCCCCUGGACAAAGACUGACGCUCAGGUGCGAAAGCGUGGGGAGCAAACAGGAUUAGAUACCCGUGUAGUC